This 449-nucleotide ribosomal RNA is filed under the name uncultured bacterium. RNAcentral describes it as "partial 16S ribosomal RNA". It matches the Rfam family "Bacterial small subunit ribosomal RNA", at positions 354 to 796 of the family's 1533-position model. The record is from RNAcentral.
GUCGAGAAUCUUUCACAAUGGGGGCAACCCUGAUGGAGCGACGCCGCGUGGAGGAUAAGGUCUUCGGAUUGUAAACUCCUGUCAUGCGUGAACAAGGUUGCUUGGUUAAUACCUGGGCAAAUUGAUGGUAACGCAAGAGGAAGAGACGGCUAACUCUGUGCCAGCAGCCGCGGUAAUACAGAGGUCUCAAGCGUUGUUCGGAAUCACUGGGCGUAAAGGGUGCGUAGGUGGCGUGGUAAGUCAGAUGUGAAAGCCCGGGGCUCAACCUCGGAACUGCAGCCGAUACUGCCAUGCUAGAGUACUGGAGAGGUGACUAGAAUUCUCGGUGUAGCAGUGAAAUGCGUAGAUAUCGAGAGGAAUACCAAAGGCGUAGGCAGGUCACUGGACAGUUACUGACACUGAGGCACGAAGGCCAGGGGAGCGAACGGGAUUAGAUACCCGAGUAGUCC